ACAACUUACCGACUCUGCCAAAGCAACUUUCCCGGCAACUGUGCAUUAGGAGAAAGAUGCACUUGGUAUUCCAGAGCAGCAAGUAGAUGUGGAAUGGUGUAAGGAUGAUCCAGUGCCAAGAUGACCACAUUGCAGCCCGUGAAGGUAGAGGAUGCCUGUGCAAGAACGUGGCUAGUCAUCUUGUUUCUUCAUUGGAUGUUGAGAUUCAAACCAAAGAUGUGUGAAUGCUAAGCUAAGGAUACAACAGUCGCCUAAUAGAGAUUAAGAACUAAGCCUGUGGGAUGGCGCUGCCUACAAUCUGAGUGGAUCUUUCCUCUUCAGUUGAAUUUCUUGGAAACAGCUUAAUAGACAAAAACUUGUGUUUUCACAAUGAUCCUGAAUCUAGUCAAGUUGAAAAUGCUAAGCAUGGAACACACUGAGUGAGUUUUAAAACGGUGACUCUUUUGAGAUAACAG
Molecule: long non-coding RNA, 455 nt
Organism: Mus musculus (house mouse)
Lineage: Eukaryota; Metazoa; Chordata; Mammalia; Rodentia; Muridae
Product: predicted gene, 40173
Exons: 3
Source: RefSeq, a predicted model, not a curated record